This 5344-nucleotide long non-coding RNA is filed under the name Sus scrofa (pig). RNAcentral describes it as "lncRNA (ENSSSCG00015067126.1)". The record is from RNAcentral. Lineage: Eukaryota; Metazoa; Chordata; Mammalia; Artiodactyla; Suidae.
AGUCCUGGAAGUACAAGUGAAAAAAGAAAUCCUAUUUUAGCAUGAACAUGCACCUCCAAUUUUUUAGCUCUUACUAGCAGUUCCUGUAUACACAAACAUGUGAGAAGUCUCCAAAGAGAAGUUUCAGUUUUGCAAGCAAAAAAACAAAAACAAAAAAAACUAAUCACAUCGAAGAAAAGUAGGCACUGCACUUUCUAGAUGACAGUAUUAAUAUAUAAUUAUUUUAGAAGAAACUAUGAAUCUGUUUAAAUCCCCAAAGUUAAAUAACCUAAUCAGAUCACUUAGAGAAAUAGGUGCUUUUCGCUGCCCUGCCCUAAGAUCAUAUUGCUAUUUAACCUGCUUUUAAACAAACAAGAAUUUUUAAACAUUUUCUAUCCUUUAAGCAAAUGUUCUUUGCUUGGCUAAAUGACAAUGUUCAAGAAAUGCCUACCACAGAAGCAUAAAAAACCCCUGGCAACAUUCCAGAAGAAAUUCACCCCGCAUAAUGUGUUCCAGCUAAUGCUCAAUAGCUUUCGGGUGAACCUGCUGGCUCUGUGUGCCCUUGAACAGAAUCUGAAAAGAACAAAAGAAAAACUGAUAGACAUUUUCCCUUUUGUGAGUCUGGUGGAACUUUCCAAACUUCGAAAAAUGUACGGCUACCAUGAACCCGGCCCUGGGCUCUGAUGUAAACUUUGUUUUACUACCUUUGCUUCCCUGAAAUUCAACUAUAAUUAUAUUGCUUGUCUUUUCAUCCAAUAAAAUGUGCAUUAGCAUUUGGUCCUCUUUAGAGUGUAGUAUUUGUUUAGAUGAAUGUAUUCUUUCAAAUGAUUAGCAGUGCUGCCACAAUGAGAACGCUUUAGAUUAAACUCUUGAUAUGGUAUUGAAAGGAGGGAGAUCAGCUCAAAAUGCUUCCAAAGUGUGCUCAUAACUGGCUGAGGCUAUCGACUUUUCUAGAUAUGUAUGAGAAUUUCACCAACCGCAAAAGACUUUAAGAUGAAAUCCCUGGCCCUUUUAUAAAUGAAAAAAACAACACGAGAGUUCCUAUUGUGGCUCAGCAGGUUAAGAACCCAACUAGAGUCCAUGAGGAUGCAGGUUCAAUCUCUGGCCUCGUUCAGUGAGUUAGGAUCCCGCGUUGCCUUGAGCUGUGGUGUAGGCUGCAGAUGCAGCUCAGAUCUGGCGUUGCUGUGGUUGUGCUGUAGGCUGGCAGAUGCAGGUCCGAUUCGACUCCUAGCCUGGGAACUUCCAUAUGCCAUGGGUACAGCCCUAAAAAGUCCAAAAAACUGAAAAUAAAAAAUUAAAUCAUUGGCCAUUUUACAUCUCUGAAGCUGUAGUGAUACAUUUGGCGCCAAUUCUCUCUGGACAUGGGAGGCUGCAGCAUUGGGUGGGAGGGCUGAUACAGAGUGCAUUUGACCUUAAAUGCCCUGGAUGGAGGAAGAGGAGGAUGCUUGGAAAGAUAACAUUGUCUCCAUUUGAUGUUCUAGGACAUGUGCAUGGAAUUGAAACAACCCAUUUUGCAGGCAAGAAGCUAUAGAUGCAAAUGCCACGCCUGGGGAAAACUGGACCCUGGGGAAGGAUGGAAGGCACUGGGGCUUGCCCUCACAGGCCCUCCCACUAUGGGGCCACCAGCCUGCUCCACGCAGAGCCUUCUCCGGGUUCCCUGGGGGACCUCUUGGAGGAGUGCAGCAGGAAGACUAUCGAUUGGCUCGGGACAUAAAAUAGACUAUUGACGGUAUCUCAGAGAUACCCCCAACAGGAUGGAAAAGAAAGGACUCACCCACAACUUUAAUGGCCAAAUAUAAAACACUGAAAUGUGCUCUGCUGGUUGUAACAUUCUCUUGGCAUUUCUUCAUUUAUUACUACGCUGGAAGCCUCAAAAAAAUGGAAGAGACCCAGCUCUGGGGACCUCUGAGAGGCCCUGGCUACCAGGAAGUCACGUGGUGUAUUAGGAGAAGGCAAGGCAUUUACAAAACCCUCAGCUGCUUUCUGCAGGAGAAAGCUGGGCCUCUAGACUCCCAGUCACCAGAGUGCAUUGCCAAACGCAAAGCCAGCACAAAACAGAUGAAACUACAGAGACCUUUGACUGGCAUCUUUAUCCUGAUGCCUCAAAAAGGAGCCAUGAUGAUGAUGAUUCAAGGUGCUUCCUUCCAGAUCCUUAAAGAGACACACACACUCAGAAUAAAUGAUGUUAUUUUCCGUGUUUUUCUUACUUAUGUGGUAUAAGAUUAUACACAUCCUAAAAAUUGCUUUAUUCAUUCCACAGUAUUUUGAGACUUAUCCAUGUGGCUUCAUAUAGAUUUAUUUCAAUACUCCUGGCUGCUGAUGGUACUCCAUCAUUUGAAACCACUACUUUUAUUUACCCAUAUCCCUCCUGACGUUCAGUAUUUGUCUGUGGCUGAUCCGAUGCAUUCUUCCAGCCCACUUAAGCAUUCCCUUCUUAGAAGUCUGACGGCACUUUAUUCUCCUUAGUUGUUCCACAUAUGUGUGGUCUGUUUCCCGGACGAGAAAGUUAAACUUCUAAGAGCAACUUCUAUGUCCGGCAUCUAAUCGAAUCAUUGCAUCUAUGUAAUACUCUGGUGAAUGACGAACUUUGGACUGUUGGCUCUCUCGGAGAGCUGAAGAGCAGCUCUGGACUCCCAGAGGUUCAACAAAUUCUAUCUAGUUAUUUAUUUCCUCUUGGUUUCUUAAAAGAGAAGUGCUGUAUUUUCAAAACAGGUUCAACUAAAAUUCACUUCCUUUCUUCAUCUAGAUUCGUGGCGGUGAGCAUCUCCUUAAAAUGUUCCAAAUCCGAACACCGGUGAUACCAUAAACGUUUCACCUUUAAAAGAUGAGACAGAGACAGACAGACAGACAGACGGACAGCAAUACAGAAAGAGAGAGCGAGAGAAAGAGAAGGAGGAGGGGGAAGAGAAAAAGGAGGAAGACUGAAAGGAUCCCCACCCCUCCGAAGGGCGGGGCCUGUGGCCCCUGCUGGCCUGGAGGCAAAGUCGGGCACAAAGGGCUGAUUCUCUUUGCAAAUGAAAUCUGGAUAACACACCCUCUCCCUUCUUUUCCUUGAAAAGUCUUCCCCUGCCACUUUUACUGUCAACUUUUAGGUUGCUCUUGUCAGAAUCAGUUUUCAUUUCUUUCCCUGGAAACUUUAUUCUCUGCCUCUUUCGGCUUCCUAAAGAAUUGGUUUGUUAAAGUUUUUAAUUGUUCGCGCUUUUUCUAGGGACAAUGAAGAAAGCGCAGAGUCUCCACAUCCACUCACCAGAAAUCCUCCAGAUCAUUCAACCCGACUCACAAUCAUGGCCGAAAGAGCUGCUUGGAAACUGUGAAAACCUUGCCAAAGGGACUCGCCCACUGCAUUGUUUGUUGGAGGAAAGGAGAAGGUGGGGACAUAGAAAAGCUGUGGAGGCACCCAGGUAUUCGGGGACCUCUCUGUAUUUGCGUUAGACCAUUUUUUCAUCUUGUGAAGUCAUUUUAACUCUUUCCUAGUCCAAGACACCAGCUUUUGGCUUUUUCGAGUCUGAUCCCUUUGCUCUGGCCAGGGUCCCCUUCCCCCGUGCCCCCCAAAUGCACCUACGCUUAUAUACAUGCCAUUCUGCAAAGAAUUUCCAGGAAGCCACAAAUCUCCUGAGACUAGAGAAGCCCAGGUAGAGAAGAUCUAAAAUAAGGUGAAAUUGCCAAGAAUCCAGAUGUUGGCAGAAACAGUAACAGUGACAGGCACUACAUGCACUGAUAGGAGCUACAAAAUAAAACCAAUCUCUGUAUGUGGGUGUUGGAGCCUAUUUGGGUUUGAUCCUGAGUUGGUCUUUUCAGACACACCUAUAUUUCCAUCACAGUUAGCAGGAUGAUCCAUACAUGCUCAGUGUGCCACCAUCUUUGAAUGCAAAGAAUGACUCUGGGUCGGGAAGAUGACAUGCUGGACAGGCAAAAGGCCGCACUGAUCAUGAGGAGAUGUGAUCAAAAUAUCAUCAAAAAUAUCUACAUCUGCAGCAAGUGCUAGAAAUAAGUGAAUAAGCGAUCUUGCCUUUCAGCACCCCUCACCUCAACUUCUCACCACAUCCUUGGCAUCAUUUCUUUCGGUAGCUUCUCUAUCCUACUUCAACGUCAAAGACUUCUUCAUGUGUCAUUGUCCUUAGAUCUAAUCUCUUCCAAACUCUUAGCUAUUCCCCAAACCAUACAGAUUACUGUCAUCAGAGUAACAUUUCCCAUUUACAGAGUGACUCCUAUGUGUCAACUAUGCAUGUAGCACCAAAAAUAUACUAUGCAUGUGUAUGAAAUCCAUGCAAUAACUCUGCUAGGCAGAUAGCAGUAUUUCCAUUUAAAGAGGAAAAACUUGAGGUUCAAAGAGCAGUGUCUUACUAAUGUUUCCAGAGCAAGGACCUGGCAGAACUGGGUUUAUCCUUAAUUCCAUGUGACUGCAAAUUCUCUCAGUCUUGUUGGCUCAUGCCACCAUCAUGUUUUUUCCAGAAAAUUCUUAAGAUUACGGAAUUCUCAGUUUAGAUGUUCUCAGCCUUCUUUGGCUCAUAGAAUAUUUGAGGAGAAAGGGAUCAGAGGCAAUCUUGUCUGACACACACACUUAACAAGUAAGGAAACUGACACUCACCUAGGAUGGGUUACUGGUCCAACCACGACCUUCCCUUUUCUAGUUCUCGAGGAGGCAGGAACCACAUCCUUUGGGAAGUUAUUUCCUGCUUCUCCUAGCAUAGCUCUAAGUGCACCAAACGUCUGUAGGUGGACAUUUGAUGACCAUUCCAAAAGGAGCAGAAACUCAAGUCCAGAACACCCGAACGACCGGCGCAAAGGAGGGCCAGACUCAGGUGGCAUCUACCUCAAAGGGACUUAACAAUCCAAGGUGUGCCCCUUCCUACCUCACCACCCCCCAGAAGAAGCCAAGAUAUUCCCUGGUCUUUGAAGCUAGUGUAGCAGUGAAAACAAGACAUGUAAAAUCACAGCGAAGGCAGCCCCCAAACCAGCACCUGCAUCCUAAAACCACUUCUACAGACAGCAGUGACAUGCAGCCCAAUUCAGCAGAUAAUGGCAAAGCCCUUCUCUUUCAGUCUGUGGUAGCUGGAAUGAGGAGGGAGAGGACAAGUCAGAGCUUGAAAGCUUGCUUUUAGGUUUGUUAUCAAGAACAACAAGUGACUGCCAUACUUCGAAUGUAUUUAAAAGUCCUGAAUCACAUAACUAGUCUGCCUUGCAUGGUCCUUGAAAAUGCAAAAAUAGAAAUGAAAGAAAUUAUCUAAGAGCAGCAAAGCAGGGAAACAGAGAUUAGCAUGAGAUUAGGAGUGCGGGCUGCGAUUCAUUAUUACCGAUGCUUAUAAACACUUGCUGUCUGACAGUAGUUGACAAGCCCUGCUAAGGACAGAGUAAUAAACAUGGU